This 582-nucleotide non-coding RNA is filed under the name Pan troglodytes (chimpanzee). The record is from RNAcentral. Lineage: Eukaryota; Metazoa; Chordata; Mammalia; Primates; Hominidae.
AGCACACAGCACACACGCUGUUGUGAGAGUUCCGUGCUCAUUUCCUUGUGGAUACACCAGGAACUCACUCUGCUGUGACCCUUCAGUACACCUCAUGUUAGGAUUAGAGACAUCUGGGUCAUAUCAGCUGCCACUGUCAUCUUCUAGUCCCUCAAAGUGUCAGCUAAAGAAACAGGCUCAGAGGAUGUUAUCUGAUUGGAUUAUGUUGUAUCUCUGGAGAGCACAGCUGAGAUCAGACUGUGUGUGUGUAACUCCACUAGACUACGAGGGUGCUUCUCAUAAAGGGUUGCAAGAUCAUAGUUCUCGGGGUGUUUAAAGGCAACACCUUCCGGAAGCCCCUGCACUACCACAGCCGACUGGUCUCGCAGCAUCUUCUCAUAUGGUACAGGUACCACUGUGGAUUUGCCUAAAGCUUUCCCUGGGGGAGAUGAAAAGCGGAUGAACAUCAUUCAAUGAAUGGUAAGAUUACAAAAUGAAAUCAUCGCUAGCUUAUUGUGGCUUAAUAAGGGCAUCCACGAUUUUUUAUAAUAUAUGAUUUCAAAAUUAAUUAAUACUACAGCAUUCUAUCUCCCCAUGUCAGCA